Molecule: unclassified non-coding RNA, 241 nt
Filed under: uncultured fungus
Lineage: Eukaryota; Fungi
Description: partial contains 5.8S ribosomal RNA, internal transcribed spacer 2, and large subunit ribosomal RNA
Rfam family: 5.8S ribosomal RNA (bases 1-52)
Source: RNAcentral
AACGCACAUUGCGCCCCUUGGUAUUCCGAGGGGCAUGCCUGUUCGAGCGUCAUUACACCACUCAAGCCUGGCUUGGUAUUGGGCGCCGCGGGGACCCCCCGCGCGCCUCAAAGUCCUUCCGGCUGAGUCGUCCGUCUCCAAGCGUUGUGGUAAAACAUCCGCGGCGAGACCGGGCGGCGCGGCCGUUAAAUCUUUGACACAGGUUGACCUCGGAUCAGGUAGGGAUACCCGCUGAACUUAA